This 72-nucleotide transfer RNA is filed under the name Candidatus Omnitrophota bacterium. Its description in RNAcentral is "tRNA-Thr". It matches the Rfam family "tRNA". Rfam says of the family: Transfer RNA (tRNA) molecules are approximately 80 nucleotides in length. Lineage: Bacteria; Pseudomonadati; Candidatus Omnitrophota. The record is from RNAcentral.
GCUGGCGUAGCUCAGUGGUAGAGCGACGGUUUUGUAAACCGUUGGUCGGGGGUUCAAAUCCCUCCGCCAGCU